AUCAUUCACAAUGGGCGAAAGCCUGAUGGUGCGACGCCGCGUGGGGGACGAAGGUCCUCGGAUUGUAAACCCCUGUCACUAGGGAAGAAACGUUACGGAUUAACAGUCCGUAGCCUGACUUAACCUGGAGAGGAAGCAGUGGCUAACUCUGUGCCAGCAGCCGCGGUAAUACAGAGACUGCAAGCGUUAUUCGGAUUCACUGGGCGUAAAGGGUGCGCAGGCGGUUGUGUGUGUUAGAUGUGAAAUCUCGGAGCUCAACUCCGAAACUGCGUCUAAAACUACAUGACUAGAGCAUUGGAGAGGGUAGCGGAAUUCACGGUGUAGCAGUGAAAUGCGUAGAUAUCGUGAGGAACACCAGAGGCGAAGGCGGCUACCUGGACAAUUGCUGACGCUCAGGCACGAAAGCGUGGGGAGCAAAAGGG
RNAcentral lists this ribosomal RNA (422 nucleotides) under uncultured bacterium. RNAcentral describes it as "bacterial SSU rRNA". It matches the Rfam family "Bacterial small subunit ribosomal RNA", at positions 361 to 776 of the family's 1533-position model. The record is from RNAcentral.